GAUAAACGCUGGCGGCGUGCAUGAGACAUGCAAGUCGAACGAAGGAUCGGGCUUGCUCGAUCCUUAGUGGCGGACGGCUGAGUAACGCGUAGGUGAGCUACCCCGAAGUGGGGAAUAACUGACCGUAAGGGUGGCUAAUACCGCAUGCGGUCUCACGUUCAUUCGUUCGCGUAAAGCCGGAAGGCGCUUCGGGAGGGGCCUGCGUUCGAUUAGCUCGUUGGUGGGGUAAUGGCUUACUAAGGCGUCGAUCGGUAGGUGGUCUGAGAGGACGAUCACCCAGACUGGGACUGGGAGACGGCCCAGACUCCUACGAGAGGCAGCAGUCGGGAAUGUUGCACGAUGGGGGAGUCACGGAAGCAGCAACGCCGCGUGAGGGUUUAAGGCCUUCGGGUUGUAAACCUGUUUGGUCAGGGACGAUGAUGACGGUACCUGGCGAAUAAGCCACGGCUAACUACGUG
Molecule: ribosomal RNA, 458 nt
Filed under: uncultured bacterium
Lineage: Bacteria
Description: partial 16S ribosomal RNA
Rfam family: Bacterial small subunit ribosomal RNA
Source: RNAcentral